AAGAAGUCAGGCCGGUUUAAGCCAUAGUACGGUAAGAGCUAUGCUGCCUGUGAGCCCCGUCCAAGGACGUAAAAUGAAGUCAGGCCGAAAGCCACGGCUUGAGCAAACCGUGCUGCCUGUGGCUCCAUCGUGGGGAUGUAAAAACCCGGGAGGCUGCAACCCAUGGAAGCUGUACGCAUGGGGUAGCAGACUAGUGGUUAGAGGAGACCCCUCCCAAGAUACAACGCAGCAGCGGGGCCCAACACCAGGGGAAGCUGUACCCUGGUGGUAAGGACUAGAGGUUAGAGGAGACCCCCCGCACAA
Molecule: long non-coding RNA, 303 nt
Filed under: dengue virus type 1
Lineage: Riboviria; Orthornavirae; Kitrinoviricota; Flasuviricetes; Amarillovirales; Flaviviridae
Description: Dengue virus 1 partial sfRNA1
Rfam family: Flavivirus DB element (bases 233-303)
Source: RNAcentral